This 162-nucleotide ribosomal RNA is filed under the name Polyscias aculeata. Its description in RNAcentral is "5.8S ribosomal RNA". It matches the Rfam family "5.8S ribosomal RNA". From Rfam's summary of the family: 5.8S ribosomal RNA (5.8S rRNA) is a component of the large subunit of the eukaryotic ribosome. It is transcribed by RNA polymerase I as part of the 45S precursor that also contains 18S and 28S rRNA. Functionally, it is thought that 5.8S rRNA may be involved in ribosome translocation. Lineage: Eukaryota; Viridiplantae; Streptophyta; Magnoliopsida; Apiales; Araliaceae. RNAcentral also lists the same sequence under 1 other name. The record is from RNAcentral.
AAACGACUCUCGGCAACGGAUAUCUCGGCUCUCGCAUCGAUGAAGAACGUAGCGAAAUGCGAUACUUGGUGUGAAUUGCAGAAUCCCGUGAACCAUCGAGUCUUUGAACGCAAGUUGCGCCCGAAGCCACUAGGUCGAGGGCACGUCUGCCUGGGCGUCACG